UGGGGAAUAUUGGACAAUGGGCGCAAGCCUGAUCCAGCCAUGCCGCGUGAGUGAAGAAGGCCCUAGGGUUGUAAAUCUCUUUCACCCGUGAAGAUGAUGACGGUAGCGGGAGAAGAAGCCCCGGCUAACUCCGUGCCAGCAGCCGCGGUAAUACGGAGGGGGCAAGCGUUGUUCGGAAUUACUGGGCGUAAAGGGCGCGUAGGCGGGACGUCAAGUCAGGGGUGAAAGGCCUGGGCUCAACCCAGGAACUGCCUUUGAAACUAGCGUUCUAGAGUCCGGGAGAGGAUGGCGGAAUUCCCAGUGUAGAGGUGAAAUUCGUAGAUAUUGGGAAGAACACCGGUGGCGAAGGCGGCCAUCUGGUCCGGCACUGACGCUGAGGCGCGAAAGCGUGGGGAGCAAACAGGAUUAGAUACCCCGGUAGUCC
Molecule: ribosomal RNA, 424 nt
Filed under: uncultured prokaryote
Description: bacterial SSU rRNA
Rfam family: Bacterial small subunit ribosomal RNA
Source: RNAcentral